CAUGCAAGUCGAGCGAAGCACUUUGGAAAGAUUCUUCGGAUGAUUUCCUUUGUGACUGAGCGGCGGACGGGUGAGUAACGCGUGGGUAACCUGCCUCAUACAGGGGGAUAACAGUUAGAAAUGACUGCUAAUACCGCAUAAGACCACGGUACCGCAUGGUACAGUGGUAAAAACUCCGGUGGUAUGAGAUGGACCCGCGUCUGAUUAGGUAGUUGGUGGGGUAACGGCCUACCAAGCCGACGAUCAGUAGCCGACCUGAGAGGGUGACCGGCCACAUUGGGACUGAGACACGGCCCAGACUCCUACGGGAGGCAGCAGUGGGGAAUAUUGCACAAUGGAGGAAACUCUGAUGCAGCGACGCCGCGUGAAGGAUGAAGUAUUUCGGUAUGUAAACUUCUAUCAGCAGGGAAGAAAAUGACGGUACCUGACUAAGAAGCCCCGGCUAACUACGUGCCAGCAGCCGCGGUAAUACGUAGGGGGCAAGCGUUAUUCGGAUUUACUGGGUGUAAAGGGAGCGUAGACGGCACGGCAAGCCAGAUGUGAAAGCCCGGGGCUCAACCCCGGGACUGCAUUUGGAACUGCUGAGCUAGAGUGUCGGAGAGGCAAGUGGAAUUCCUAGUGUAGCGGUGAAAUGCGUAUAUAUUAGGAGGAACACCAGUGGCGAAGGCGG
RNAcentral lists this ribosomal RNA (670 nucleotides) under uncultured bacterium. RNAcentral's name for it is "bacterial SSU rRNA". It matches the Rfam family "Bacterial small subunit ribosomal RNA", at positions 54 to 724 of the family's 1533-position model. The record is from RNAcentral.